RNAcentral lists this long non-coding RNA (533 nucleotides) under Bos taurus (domestic cattle). RNAcentral describes it as "long non-coding RNA NONBTAT025263". Lineage: Eukaryota; Metazoa; Chordata; Mammalia; Artiodactyla; Bovidae. The record is from RNAcentral.
GAACACCUUUUCAUUUAUAACUGUUUAGGGGAAAGUGACUAUGUUGUCACACAUAUUUUGAAGUACAACUCAAACAAUUUUUGACAAUAAUCAAUCAUAUCUUAUUUGGGGUUCUUAUUUCUAUCCCAAUUAGUAUGCAUGUCAGAAAGUCUGGAUUGAUACAGCAACCAUGCCCAAAUUCUUACUAUGCUCUAUGUGAUUAUUAAAAAAAAUUCUAAAUGUAGCCUUAGUUCGCCAACAUUGAGUACCACUUUAAAACACAUUAAAGAAAAUGGCAUUAAAUGUAUUCAUGUAUUUCUAAUUUUCAUAUAGACAGUAAAGUUGAACAUAAAGAACAGAUAAAAAUUUUCUUGUACAGUAGAAAGAAAUUAAGGAGGUAGGAAGACACAGUUUUGAAAUAUAAAAAUUUCGUAGGACCACUCUAGACUCAAGAUUUGAUUCCUCUAGGUCAGGAACUGGCACAUUGGAGUCUGUUUCUAUUGCCCAUGGGCACUUCCAUAUAACAGAGGCCAGUGGGUGUCACAGACACUGCA